Terrapene triunguis (Three-toed box turtle) is the source of this 3591-nucleotide long non-coding RNA. RefSeq lists it as uncharacterized. The transcript is spliced from 2 exons. NCBI's taxonomy places the organism in Eukaryota, Metazoa, Chordata, Testudines, Emydidae. The record is from RefSeq and is a predicted model, not a curated record.
GUUCUUGAGGAAGUGCCCCAUUGAGUAAUUGGGAAUGUUCACACAGGGCCCAUAUGCAUGUAUAUACUUAAAGCGCACACGGUACUAGAAAGAGAAUAGACAACGUUAAAACUGUAACCCAGACUAACACAAAGUAGCUUGUUUAAUUUUUUUUCCCCUGUAGCAUAAAACUUACCAAAAAUACUCUCUCAGAAGUGGAAAGCUUCCACUAGUCCAAAUUAACAUGGACGUAAGAUAAAAAACACACAUUCAAAUCCUUUUGUAACUAUUAGGGUUGUGGUGUCUAGACGCAUAUUCUGGUGCUUAUCUGUAAUUGUGGGAAUCGGUUUGAAACCUUGGAUAUGGUGGUGUGUGGCUUUUUCUUUUUUUGGCAUUUUUUUUCAGGUGCUUAAUGUAACUUAAUGCUACUGUAGAGACUUCAGAGAGAAAGAAGUUGCUUAAUGACCCUGGUGUGAUUCCUUCUGAUGGUAGCUUGUGUAUUUUUCAAACAUUUUUCAGAUCCGCCAUCAGAAUCAUAGCCCCAACGAGCCCUGAGAAAAUAUGGCCUCAUAAAUGCAGAGGGAACAGCUUCUUGGCGAAUGAUAAGUAAAGGCAGAAAAGAUUCUAAUAUUCCUUACUACUUGAUGGAAAAGGAUCCCAGAUGUUAACAAGUGAAAAUCCAAUGUGUCUACGGAAAAAAAAAAAAAAGCCAUAAGCAAUGAAACUGACAAAUUUGAAGUAAUAAGCAUUGACUAUCAAUUAUCUGAUCAGAAUAUUUGCUCUAAGAAAUCUCAAAAUUAUAUGCAGUAAAGAGCAAAUGUCCUUCUUGAAAUACAUAAUUUCAUUAAAGCAGUGAACAACAACUUCCACAUCAUUGCAAUUAAAUUGAAAGAAAAUACCGGCAGAAAAAAUGCAUAUGCAAAUACAUAUGGCUUCUACCAAACUAUUUGGUAUGAAUAUUACUACCUAAAUCUUAUGGAUUUGAAGAAAGAAUAUGAAUUAUUUUGAAACCACAAUCUAAUUUGGGAUCAACUUUCACUACUGUUGGAUUUGAGAGGAGGCUUGUGCUGUGUUCCACUGUUUACCUGAGACAGGUUUUCUGCACUAUUAAUGAGGAGUUUUGCUUCAUUUCAUCUGGGAGCUGAAAAAAACAAGCAGGCAUCUAUUACAGAUAAGUUUAUCAAUUAUAUCUGCAGAUAUUGCAUGUUAGGGAAAUGUACUUUUUAAAUGCUAUGAAGCAGUGGAAGCCCUAAACAUCUGAACUGGCAUUUCCCAUUCCCAGCCUUUAGCAGUGUGUGGAAUGGGUAUGAGGGACUUAACCUACCCCUGUGCCUAUUCAGGGCUGCACUUCCACUUUCUAAAUUCCUUUCUCUGUGCACAGGCCACAGUUGGAUUGUGCCCAUCACCUACAGGCAGACAAGCAUAGCAGCAAUGCUGUGGUGCUUCCGAACAAACAUGCAAUGUAUAUCCUCCUUUGGAGGCUGAGCCUACUCUGGGCCUACAGUUUGAGAGCCUAAAAUGCUAUACCAAACAGCACAUUAUGCUGCCAAAAAACACACCUUAUUUUUCUGCUAUUUUGUAGCAUUAAAAUAUAUGCAGAAAACAUGGGAUUAAAAAAAAAAAAGGCUAUAAAGGUACCUGUUAAUAAAGUUACUGAUGUGCUCUAAGAAUAGACAGUUUGUCUUCAUUUUUAUUAAUAAAAAUGUGCUGUCAAUGUUCUUUGUGUGUGGUUAGCUCUGGGGCAGUGUGGUGGGGGGGAUUCUUCUUUAAUCUUUCAGAAUCUUUCUCCAAGAACACCUGAUCUUAAUUGGACGGGAGCAGGAAUUGAACAGAAGACCGAAAUUCUUUUUUUAUUCAGGCAGGAAAGUCUUUGCAGAAUCUUUUCCUUCCCUCCCUCUCCACCCCUCUCUUCAUCGAGACAAAUGUAGAUCAAGGUACUUGGCAAUAGAAGUCCUGUAAUUAAGGAAAGUAUCUGCCCAAGGAAUGAUUUCUAAAAUGCUUUAAACUAGACCAGUGGGGGCAAAACUUACCAAUCGGAGUAAGUUCAUAACAGUAAAAUUUUGGCAAUAAGACUUGCUUUGUCUCCAGAGCUAAAGUCCUGUUAAAAUAAAAAAAAAGACUGACUUAUAGUUGGGGGGAAAACUUUUAACUGCACAAUAAUUUGUUAAAUUUAACACUAGUCAGUUUGCAUAUUUAGAAAUUUGCAUGCUAACAAUGCUUGCAACCAUUUCCUUCAGUGCUAGUGACGUCUCAUUUUCUACUUCCAAUUAACAUUAGCGGGGGAAAUGGGCAAUUUUUUUUUUUUUUUUUUAAGUAUCUUUCUUUGUAGAAGCUUCAUUUCAUAAUGUAUAGACCCUGAUCGAUCCAUCCCUUCAUGAAGCUGUUCAGGAUGAUUUUGCUUGACAUGCCUUGGCGCUUUCUUCUGUUCCCCACACCUUGUGUGUGUAUGUGAAGGCCCCUGCAGUGAGUUAAACCUCUGUAUCUUCAAACAUUAACAGCAUUUUUUUUUUUAAUAUCUGGACUGUGGCUGGGGUAGGGUGGGAGGGGCUCACAACUUGUUCUAGCUUUUCUUUUUACAGACUUCGCAGAGAAUGCAGUGUCUGAAGCAGGUCUGGUCUGUUGGCAAGUAAUGUGCAGUAUGCUUGAUCUGCUUGGGUAGAGCAUUUGAAUCGAUUGAAAUACGUGUCCCAAAGCUUUUGUCCAUGUGUGGAGUAGUGAUUGUUUGAAAGAAAAAAAUACAGCUGAAUGACACAAGUGCCUGUGUAUUGAAAGGAGCUCUUUACCCUACGAGUAAAAUGCCCCGCAGCUUUAAGCAGUCGGUGUAUGUGACUGAGAUCCAAGUUCCUUUGGCUGUGCUGCUUUAUUUAGGUAACUGCUUUUUGUUGUUGUUCCCUUUCUGAAGUGGGUGGGGGUAGGGGUAGGGGGUACUGAAGCCUUUAGUCUCUUCCAGAUACAUCUAAAACAUCUCAUUGACAAGAAAUAAAAGCUUCCAAACAAGCAACAAUCCUCCAGGAAACUAACUGGCAAGUGACAUUUUAAAUUCCACCAGUUUAGUGACCAUUUUCAGUACCUUGCUUUUGUAUGGGUCUCUUCCUUUCUUGGUUUUUUAACAGUUCUUUUCAAGAAAAUACCAAACAAGCCAGUUCCUCAUGAUGGGCCACAGAAGCCAACCCAGUAAGAAUAGAUCUUAUUUACUUUAGAACAAAAAAUUUAAUUCAUUUUCAUGGAGUUUACUGGGAAUUUGGGGGGGGGGGAAGGGGGGGGGCAACCUAGUUUUAAGAUUACUUUUCACAGACCUGUAGAAGGAGCAGCCAGACACAAUGAAUUUGAAAAUACCACAGUGGACAAAAAGCAAACAGGUGAAUAAACUUUUCUGUAUUUACCAUAAGAUAAAAAGAUUCAAAAAAAUUGGAAUCUCCUCCCCACCCCACCCACAAUAAAAAAUGGGGAAAUAAUUAACUUUUAUCCAGCUUUAUGCUGCAAUUGCACCAAUUUAAAAUGAGAGACUAUAUCUUUGAAUCUUUUUAGGGAUGUGGGUGGGAGAAAAUGGGUUGAGACCUCUUUUGCUUAAGACUUUUGCAGGUGUCCCCAUUUAAAGACAGAAAAGGCUUU